AGGUUUUGUCUCCAGAUUUUUCUGAAAAUAUUAAUGAAGCCAGCUGGGAAGAGGAGCAGUUUGGAUGAGACUGGGAUAAGAAGUGGUUAAUAAAAUCUGGUUAUCUAUUCUGGAAAAAAUAAACAGCUGAUACCACCAUUCUGAACUAUUACAGUGAAUUCCACAUAGGCACUGAAGGUGCAAGCUUUCAUGAAUUGCUUGCCUUUGAGUCAGAAUCUGGAACGCUGAGGAGGUCUCUUUCCAGUAACUUGGACCAGAGACAACUGUAAAUGUGCUGGAAGCCAGAAGAUGUUGGGGAAGCUGGCAAAGAGAAAACCUGAGAGUUAUUUACUGCUCAGCCUGCAGCAUCCAUGAGUGACUGAAGGGAGUAUCUGGACCUUUUUCUCACUUCCAAAAGCAAGUGCUACCAGAAAGGAAGAAGAAAACCUUGAAGUUAUCUUAGCCUACAACAGUGAUAUCAUCCAUAUCUUUAUUGUCAUGGAUGAAAAUGGGAAAUAAAAGAUUCUGAUGGCUCCUAA
Long non-coding RNA from Homo sapiens (human), 518 nucleotides. NCBI's taxonomy places the organism in Eukaryota, Metazoa, Chordata, Mammalia, Primates, Hominidae. The record is from Ensembl.